RNAcentral lists this ribosomal RNA (486 nucleotides) under uncultured bacterium. RNAcentral's name for it is "partial 16S ribosomal RNA". It matches the Rfam family "Bacterial small subunit ribosomal RNA", at positions 30 to 507 of the family's 1533-position model. The record is from RNAcentral.
AUUGAACGCUGGCGGCAUGCCUUACACAUGCAAGUCGAACGGCAGCACGGGUGCUUGCACCUGGUGGCGAGUGGCGAACGGGUGAGUAAUACAUCGGAACAUGUCCUGUAGUGGGGGAUAGCCCGGCGAAAGCCGGAUUAAUACCGCAUACGAUCUACGGAUGAAAGCGGGGGACCUUAGGGCCUCGCGCUAUCGGGUUGGCCGAUGGCUGAUUAGCUAGUUGGUGGGGUAAAGGCCUACCAAGGCGACGAUCAGUAGCUGGUCUGAGAGGACGACCAGCCACACUGGGACUGAGACACGGCCCAGACUCCUACGGGAGGCAGCAGUGGGGAAUUUUGGACAAUGGGCGAAAGCCUGAUCCAGCAAUGCCGCGUGUGUGAAGAAGGCCUUCGGGUUGUAAAGCACUUUUGUCCGGAAAGAAAUCCUUGGCCCUAAUACGGUCGGGGGAUGACGGUACCGGAAGAAUAAGCACCGGCUAACUACGUG